AGUGAUGAAGGCCCUAGGGUUGUAAGCUCUUUCACCGGAGAAGAUAAUGACGGAAUCCGGAGAAGAAGCCCCGGCUAACUUCGUGCCAGCAGCCGCGGUAAUACUAAGGGGGCUAGCGUUGUUCGGAAUUACUGGGCGUAAAGCGCACGUAGGCGGAUCGAUCAGUCAGGGGUGAAAUCCCAGGCCUCAACCCUGGAACUGCCUUUGAUACUGUCGAUCUGGAGUAUGGAAGAGGUGAGUGGAAUUCCGAGUGUAGAGGUGAAAUUCGUAUAUAUUCGGAGGAACACCAGGGGCGAAGGCGGCUCACUGGUCCAUUACUGACGCUGAGGUGCGAAAGCGUGGUGAGCAAACAGGAUUAAAUACCCUGGUAGUCCACGCCGUAAACGAUGAAUGUUAGCCGUCGGGCAGUAUACUGUUCGGUGGCGCAGCUAACGCAUUAAACAUUCCGCCUGGGGAGUACGGUCGCAAGAUUAAAACUCAAAGGAAUUGACGGAGA
Molecule: ribosomal RNA, 496 nt
Filed under: Rhizobium sp. Rh SKM
Lineage: Bacteria; Pseudomonadati; Pseudomonadota; Alphaproteobacteria; Hyphomicrobiales; Rhizobiaceae
Description: bacterial SSU rRNA
Rfam family: Bacterial small subunit ribosomal RNA
Source: RNAcentral